GAUGAAGAACGUAGCAAAAUGCGAUAAGUAAUGUGAAUUGCAGAAUUCAGUGAAUCAUCGAAUCUUUGAACGCACAUUGCGCCCGCCAGUAUUCUGGCGGGCAUGCCUGUUCGAGCGUCAUUUCAACCCUCAAGCACAGCUUGGUGUUGGGACUCGCGUUAAUUCGCGUUCCUCAAAUUGAUUGGCGGUCACGUCGAGCUUCCAUAGCGUAGUAGUAAAACCCUCGUUACUGGUAAUCGUCGCGGCCACGCCGUUAAACCCCAACUUCUGAAUGUUGACCUCGGAUCAGGUAGGAAUACCCGCUGAACUUAAGCAUAUCAUAAGCGGAGGA
Molecule: unclassified non-coding RNA, 331 nt
Filed under: soil metagenome
Description: partial contains 5.8S ribosomal RNA, internal transcribed spacer 2, and large subunit ribosomal RNA
Rfam family: 5.8S ribosomal RNA (bases 1-120)
Source: RNAcentral